AAGUCGUAACAAGGUAACCGUAGGUGAACCUGCGGUUGGAUCAUUAAAAAAUGACUUUGGUCUCGUGCCAAAUCAACACCCGUGUGCACUCAUUGUCUGUCUUUGGUAGUUCGAGUCGUCCCUCCAACGGAACUCAACAUUCCGGAGGGCGCUACCGACCGAUCCCGCAAGGGGUUGGUUCGGUUGGGCUACCGCCUUUUUCUUGAACAAACCUUUUGUUUUCGUUUAUCCAGUCUGAAAUUUUUGAGUUAAUCCUCACAGAUUAAUGAACAAAAUACAACUUUUGACAACGGAUCUCUUGGCUCUC
This 307-nucleotide unclassified non-coding RNA is filed under the name fungal sp. Its description in RNAcentral is "partial internal transcribed spacer region". The stretch from base 1 to 46 matches the Rfam family "Eukaryotic small subunit ribosomal RNA", at positions 1786 to 1831 of the family's 1831-position model. Lineage: Eukaryota; Fungi. The record is from RNAcentral.